GCAAUGACAAUAAAGUAAACUAAACUACUCUGAAGGCUGAGGCUGGCGGAUUGCUUGAGCUCAGGCAUUCUGGGCUGCAGCGGGCUAUGCCGAUCGGGGGUCCGCACACGGUGAUCCCUAGGGAGCUGAGGGACACCAGGGGUGAACCGGCCCAGGUCAGAGACAGAGCAGGUCAAAACUCCUGUGCCAAUCAGUAGUGAGAUAAUGCCUGUGAAUAGCUACCUGCAGCGUAGCCUGAGCAAGACAGCAAGACCCAGACUCUU
Molecule: signal recognition particle RNA, 263 nt
Filed under: Laticauda laticaudata (blue-ringed sea krait)
Lineage: Eukaryota; Metazoa; Chordata; Lepidosauria; Squamata; Elapidae
Description: Metazoan signal recognition particle RNA (ENSLLTG00000003351.1)
Rfam family: Metazoan signal recognition particle RNA
About the family: The signal recognition particle (SRP) is a universally conserved ribonucleoprotein.
Source: Rfam by way of RNAcentral